This is a long non-coding RNA of Papaver somniferum (opium poppy), 2353 nucleotides long. RefSeq lists it as uncharacterized. The record is from RefSeq and is a predicted model, not a curated record. NCBI's taxonomy places the organism in Eukaryota, Viridiplantae, Streptophyta, Magnoliopsida, Ranunculales, Papaveraceae. The transcript is spliced from 2 exons.
UUUGCUCAUCUUAUUUUUCCAAGCCUGACUUUGCCAAGCAUGACGAACUAGUUUCUUGUGAGACUAGUAGUAGUUUUCAAGAUAUUUGUAUGAGUGUGGAACAUAUGGAUACUGGUCAGGUAAUUCACAAUAACAAAUUAGAACCGAAAACUGUUUGCUCAUCUCCUUGUGCCAAGUUCUGUGACCUUAUGCUCAUUGACAUUGAUAAUGCAUUGCUUCCUCCGAUAUCUAGUGAAUCUGCUGAAAAUAUUUCAGCUGAACUUGAACCUGAUUUAGAGUCUGCACUCCAGUUAUACACUAUUGAACAAUCUGUAUUUGUUGGUGUGAAUGGUUUACUGAUCCCGACAGAGCAUGACUUGAUUAUUAUGGACUAUUUUGAACAGGGAAUGGGUUUUCACAUAUGCUUGGCUGAUUAGUCUUCGCAGGUUCUUAUUUGCAGCUAACCUGAUAUGUUGGGUUGAUUCACAACUUUUCAGACUUUAUUUAUAUGCUGGGCAGGUUGCUUUUGUAUAUCACCUUCACUUGGUUUGAGAUUACUUGCUACACUCAAGCAGGGAACAAAUAUCAUUCGCUUCGUGGGAGUCAACCCAUCAGAUUUGUUCCCUUUACUCUAUAUUUUAUUCUUUUAUUUGUCUAAUGCAUAUUAGGAAUUUUCCACCUUGAAUUUUACUUUGAAUGACUCAACUUACAUUAAGGACAGUAUAAGAUUCAAGUGUGGGGGAGUGGUUAAGCACAGAUUUGUAGUAGGCAUUCACUUUCUUUAUGAAUUUUCUAUAAAUAAAAAAAAAACAACAAAAACUUUUCUUUAUUUUUUAUGGUAUGACCAGCUGUUGAGCGGUCUUUCUGAUUUUCGGUCUAGAUGUUUAGCAGACUUCUCUUCUCUUUACCAUUGUUUAGUGGUUUCGUCUCGCUGUUUAGCGGACAUCUCGAUGUCACUGUUUAGUGGAUCCGACUAGCUGUUUAGCAGACGUCUCUCCAUAUCCAGCUGUGUAGCGGACAUAAUUUUCUCUUGUUUUGCUCGGGACUAGCAAAAUGAGAUACAAGAAAUUCCGUUCCCCCGGAAAAUAAAUUGCGUAGGAGCUAAUUUGGCACUUGCGAUUUGCGUUGCCAAAGGAGUAAGAACUUAUGGGCUGCACCGCGCUGCCAUUUCAUGGCCAGAUAUAUCAAUUCACAAAACAAAGAAUUGUCUAUGUUCCGUCAAGCAUGUGAGCCGCACGAGUGGGUCUAAGAAGAACAGAAGACGUGGCUGCUUAUGCACCACAUUUUCUUAACAUCAUCUUCUCGUCUUUGUCAAAGAAAUGAAACAUUCAUUUCUCACUCGAGAAGCAGAGCAGCAGCAAAACAGAUCUGUGAGGUUCUAAAAUGAAAAUGGAAAUGGGUUUUGACCUAAUUUUGGUGGAACUAAUUAAUUGCAGGAAGGGGAUCGAGUACAACCAACAAUCUUCCAUGAAGUGAUGUAUGUUGUUGGUGCUAUAAGUACUGAUUAGAAGUGAAGACAAAUCUGAAUUUUUGGGGUUUUCUUAUUUGAGGUUGGGCUUAAUUGGUAGUUGUUCUUGCGAACUAAAAUUGAAUCCAAACAGAAGAUUAACUUGGUGCUACCAAUCAGUUAAUGGAAGAAGUAAACGGAACUAGAGAUAAGUUCCAUGGGUUUUGUUCGUGAUGGAUGUAUGUGGUUUUGCAGACGUGAUUGAAGAUGACAGCAAGACAAAGUAAGGGAUUUUGGAAUCUGGCAUCGACUGAAAUUGAGUUACUGGAUGUGCGAAAUUGGGAAGAGUGAAGUGUUUUAAUGGCUGAUUCAAUUGAUUGCAGUUGGUAGUGGUGAUGGAUUUCCUCUACCAGUAUGAAGAGAAGGAACUGAUGAUAUUCGGUGAUUCAAAUUAGUGUUGAUGCCAUCGAUUCUUGGUUCUGUACGAGAAGAUCAAGCAACGGAUUUUGGGGGUUUUGGCAUCAAUUGAAACUGAGUCUUGUUAUGGGUGAAAUUGGUGUUUGUUGGUCUGAGUACACAGUGGUGAUGAGAAGUUCAGAGUACAGGAAAAUUGAGUCAUGCUUUGGCUGAUUCGAAGUAGCUGCAAUUCUCAAAAUGGUGGUUGUAUGGGAAGCUUGGAUUGGAUUAAAUGGGUGUCCUGAGGUUAAAUGAAAUUGAGAUUUGUUCUUGAGCUGAAACACGAUGGACAUUUACUGGUGGCUGUUACAGUUUUGGGAAGACAGUUCACGAUGGCAAUAAAGACGAGAUCGAUUAUUUUGGAGGUUCAUUUCAGUGAAGUAUAUUGACUGCAGUCGACGAGAGCAUCAAGUACUAACCAGUGUUAGUGGAGUUGGUGCUAUAGACAUGGGUCUGGUGCUUGAGAAAAUG